Molecule: ribosomal RNA, 253 nt
Filed under: uncultured bacterium
Lineage: Bacteria
Description: partial 16S ribosomal RNA
Rfam family: Bacterial small subunit ribosomal RNA
Source: RNAcentral
UACGUAGGGGGCAAGCGUUGUCCGGAAUUAUUGGGCGUAAAGAGCGUGUAGGCGGCCAGAUAAGUCCGCUGUGAAAUCUCGAGGCUCAACUUCGAGCUGUCGGUGGAAACUAUCUGGCUAGAGUCCGGAAGAGGAGAAUGGAAUUCCCGGUGUAGCGGUGAAAUGCGCAGAUAUCGGGAGGAACACCAAUUGCGAAGGCAGCUCGCUGGGACGUUACUGACGCUGAGACGCGAAAGCGUGGGGAGCAAACAGG